Molecule: ribosomal RNA, 1347 nt
Filed under: uncultured bacterium
Lineage: Bacteria
Description: bacterial SSU rRNA
Rfam family: Bacterial small subunit ribosomal RNA
Source: RNAcentral
GACGAACGCUGGCGGCGUGCUUAACACAUGCAAGUCGAACGAUGAAGCCUAGCUUGCUAGGUGGAUUAGUGGCGAACGGGUGAGUAAUACGUGAGUAACCUACCUUUAACUCUGGGAUAAGCCCGGGAAACUGGGUCUAAUACCGGAUACGACCAAUCUCCGCAUGGGGUGUUGGUGGAAAGCGUUAUGUAGUGGUUAUAGAUGGGCUCACGGCCUAUCAGCUUGUUGGUGAGGUAACGGCUCACCAAGGCGACGACGGGUAGCCGGCCUGAGAGGGUGACCGGCCACGCUGGGACUGAGACACGGCCCAGACUCCUACGGGAGGCAGCAGUGGGGAAUAUUGCACAAUGGGCGCAAGCCUGAUGCAGCGACGCCGCGUGAGGGAUGACGGCCUUCGGGUUGUAAACCUCUGUUAGCAGGGAAGAAGAGAGAUUGACGGUACCUGCAGAGAAAGCGCCGGCUAACUACGUGCCAGCAGCCGCGGUAAUACGUAGGGCGCGAGCGUUGUCCGGAAUUAUUGGGCGUAAAGAGCUUGUAGGCGGUUUGUCGCGUCUGCUGUGAAGGCCGGGGCUUAACUCCGUGUAUUGCAGUGGGUACGGGCAGACUAGAGUGCAGUAGGGGAGACUGGAAUUCCUGGUGUAGCGGUGGAAUGCGCAGAUAUCAGGAGGAACACCGAUGGCGAAGGCAGGUCUCUGGGCUGUAACUGACGCUGAGAAGCGAAAGCAUGGGGAGCGAACAGGAUUAGAUACCCUGGUAGUCCAUGCCGUAAACGUUGGGCACUAGGUGUGGGGAACAUUCCACGUUUUCCGCGCCGUAGCUAACGCAUUAAGUGCCCCGCCUGGGGAGUACGGCCGCAAGGCUAAAACUCAAAGAAAUUGACGGGGGCCCGCACAAGCGGCGGAGCAUGCGGAUUAAUUCGAUGCAACGCGAAGAACCUUACCAAGGCUUGACAUAUACUGGACCGCAUCAGAGAUGGUGUUUCCCUUCGGGGCUGGUAUACAGGUGGUGCAUGGUUGUCGUCAGCUCGUGUCGUGAGAUGUUGGGUUAAGUCCCGCAACGAGCGCAACCCUCGUUCUAUGUUGCCAGCACGUAAUGGUGGGGACUCAUAGGAGACUGCCGGGGUCAACUCGGAGGAAGGUGGGGAUGACGUCAAAUCAUCAUGCCCCUUAUGUCUUGGGCUUCACGCAUGCUACAAUGGCCGGUACAGAGGGUUGCGAUACUGCGAGGUGGAGCUAAUCCCUAAAAGCCGGUCUCAGUUCGGAUUGGGGUCUGCAACUCGACCCCAUGAAGUCGGAGUCGCUAGUAAUCGCAGAUCAGCAACGCUGCGGUGAAUACGUUCCCGGGCCU